RNAcentral lists this long non-coding RNA (5697 nucleotides) under Sus scrofa (pig). RNAcentral describes it as "lncRNA (ENSSSCG00035078776.1, ENSSSCG00055011660.1)". The stretch from base 614 to 694 matches the Rfam family "Small nucleolar RNA SNORD116". The record is from RNAcentral. Lineage: Eukaryota; Metazoa; Chordata; Mammalia; Artiodactyla; Suidae.
GAGCAGCAUGGCGGACCCCUGAUCUUGUGGCGUGCCACCAAGUGAGGCCGAGGAGCUCCCGCAGACCAGUGGGCGUGCCGUCUUUUAGAGGGAUUUUUGGAGACCUGUCUUUGAUGGAAGCAUCAAUGAUUGAAGAUCAGCAGCAGCAUGGAACCCUGGGCCUAUUUGGAGAUACCAAGUGAGUCCAAGGAGCUCCCAGAGGCAAGUUGAUGAUGGCCUAUUGAGGGGAUCAUGGAGGCCUGGUGAUGGUUGAAAUGGACCAAAAAUUAGGCUUCAUAGGGAUGAGUUUAUGGGGGAUUUUAUUCCUUCUCCUUGAUAUGUGCUGUGAAGGAAAGUAUUAGAAGUAAUUCUACCUUCCAUCCUCAAGGACCAGUGUGAAUUCUAAUACCAGUAAGUGUUGUCCUGAAAAUAAUCACAUUUCUCCUAGGGAAUCAUAACAUUCCAGUGACAAUAAUACUCUGGUUAUGGUAGUCAGCCAAGAGGCUAGGUCAUUGGCUAUAAUUGGUCUCCAUAAUUGAAGAGCUUUAGUCAGUGUAUCCCAGAAUUAUAGAAUCCUGGGAGCUCAGUGUCUACCAUAUAUCUCAGGACCAAGAUCUCUUUUACGAAUGUGCCUGGAUCAAUGACGACUUCAAAAAUGGAUCUCAUUGGAAUCUGAACAAAAUGAGUGAAAAAAUCAUUUGUGUGACUGAGGUCCAGCACAAGAGACCAUGCCAGGCAAAAAUUUGGGGGUGAGGCUCAGUUUGAUCAGCUAAUGGUGCCAGUAGGGACCAAAGUAAUUGAACGCUAUCCUGAUUGCAUACAUUAAGGGAAAUGAACUAUACAGAGAUCUGUAAAUAUCUUAGGAAUGACAUGACAAUUCUGUGAAUGCUUGGAUGGCAGUAUAAUAAAUAGAUCCUGGAGAACCAGCUCAAGAAUGGAGAGAUAGGUAGUAAAUUGUUAUGCCUACCUAUGAGCCAUUCACAUAUUUUUCUUAGGUGCCAAAAUUUUCAGAAUGAGGUCAGUUAGGUAUUCAAAGCAAAACAUAAGAAUGUUUACUUUUGUAUCUAUUAAAGUAAAAGAAACAUGGAAAUUGAGGAGUAGUUCCUAUUUGUCAAAAUGUCUCCAAAAAUGUUUUAAUUGCCUUACUGAUGAAGUCACAAGAAUUGGAAGUGUUUUUUUUUUUUUCUCUAUCACUCAAAGAGGAAUUUUUUAGACAUUUUUGUGAUAGAUUCAAAUAGAUGCUAUAUUAAACACUUUUAAUUAAAAAAUGAUUACAUUUCCAAUUAUUGACAUUUUAGGCAGAUUCCCAAUAUUCAUAUUGUGUUAGUGGGUUUUAUAGUGUUGAAGGGGAGAUCCUAGGAUUAGCACCUGAUGCCAAGGGAGGGCUUUGUGGAACCUUUGAGACAGGUCUUGCGACUUUCAGUGUUACCCUGGUCUGAGUAGUGAGCAUUGUUUUUUUUUUCUUCUUAUACAAUUAAGUGAGUAUCUAUGGCUUAUUCCUUAUAAUCUGUUAUUAUUAAACAUUCAAUUAUGAUGGUUUUGUUUGUCAAAUUUCCUAAUUUCCCAAAAUAUGUUGUAGAUUAGAAGUGAUAUUGGAAUUGGAUGGAAUUCCUACCACCACUCCAAGGAACUGCUGUUUUUGUCACUUGUACUAGCUCCCUUCUAUGGAAAUAAUCAGAACAAUGCAUUCUGGAGUUAACAUUGCAACUUUUAAUAAGUGUGUUUUCCUGGGUUUUUAUAUUGUUUGUUUUUAGCAGACCAGAUUACAAAUGCUGUCUUAGAGUCUGUUGAUCCAAGCAAUGUGAGGCCUUUAAUAAUCUGGGUCUUUGGAGGCUUCUGUGUAAUUUUUCCCAUGACUUUAAUGCUUCCUCCAUUUUAUAUAAUAUCAGAAGACCCUACUAGAGAAAUAGUGGUUUUAUAUUCCUGUACAUAAUAAACAUUUUCGUGUCAUGCAUGGUUAACAUAUGAACUCAUAUACUUCUCAUCUUUCCAUAAUUUUACUCUAGGCUAGCAGAUUAACUAAGAGCUCAAUUUCAUAUAAAGAUUUUAUUCUUUUCCCUGAGACAUGAAAUGAAGGAAGGUAUUGGAAAACAUUAUGCCUCUCAUCCUUAUGACAUCUUUAUGAGCUAGUGGGAAUUUUCAUAGUGGUAAGCACUUUGCCCUGAACAUAGUGACAUUCCCCUCAGGAAUUCCUGCAAUGAUGUUGAGACUUUGGCUGUGCUAGUCAGCCAUGGAGUCAUCAGUGAUGCUGGCCUCCAUGGGGAAUAGUGUGGGCAAGGGUGUCCCAAGGAGAUGGAAGUCUAGAGCUCAGUGUCUCCCACAUGUCUCAGGAUCAAGGUCCCUUGUAUAUAUGUGCCUGGAUUGAUGAUGACUUCAAAAAUGGAUCUCACUGGAAUCUGAACAAACUGAGUGACAAAAUCACUCAUGUGAACUGAAGUCCAGCACAAGAGACCAAGCCAAGCAGAAAUGUAGAAAGGGUUCAGUUUGGUCAGCAAGUUGUUCUCCCCACCCAAAAGGACUACAGUACUGGAAAACUAAGAAGCUGGCAUACACUAGAGGAAAUUAAUUGUACAGAGACUAUAACUAACCAUUGUGGGAUGACAGUUCUUUGAGUGAUUGGCAGGCAGCAUCCCUACAACCACAGUAAACAAACCAUGGAGAACCAGCACAUGAAUAAUGACUACUGUGGGAAACAGCUGUGCUUACACUUGAGCCAUUCAUACAGUUUCCUUAGAUGUUUCAGUCUUCUCUGAGGAUCAUUAUGUUUAGGUCUAUUUGACAGUCAAUUAGAAAGAAAUUCGUUUUUGUGUGUCAUUUAUCUCUUAAGUAAAAGAAAUAUGAGAAAAUCGAAGGUUUGAUUAGGUUUAUUAUAUUAUCUUAUGGCAUGUUUUAAUUUGCUUGCUAAUCCACCAAAAACUUUUAAGAACAAGUUUUUGUGUGUGUGUGUGUGUCACUCAGGGAGAAAAUUUCUAGAUAUUUGAUGAUGGAUUAAAUUAAAUAUUUCAUUAAACAUUUUAGACAUGAGAUUAUUAAAUAUCGAGUUCUUGGAAUUUUGUGUAGAUAUCUUUGACUAAUAUUCAUAUUCCUUGAAUGAAUGUUUUGUAUGUUUAAAUAAAAGUUAUGAUUUUAGUAAGCAGUACUCAAGGGGAAUUUGAGGUCAACUUCAAGACCAAGGUCUUAGAAAAACUGAUUUUCUAUACUACCCUUUUCCAAGGAAAAAAUAUAAUUUUUCUAGUUAUAUAGAUGGUCAAGUUAAUGUCUGUGGUUAAUUCCUUGUUAUUUUUUAGCAGUUAGCAUUCAGUUUGGAAGGUUUUGGUUCACAACUUCCUUUAUUUUCUCUGUACUUUAAAAAAUGGAAGUGACUUUGGAAUUGCAUGGAAUACUCACCACCCUAAAGAAGUGCUAGAUUUUUGUGUUUUCACCUGUUCCCUUUUUUGGGAUGGAACAAAACAAUGCACUUCAAAGGUAAUAACCAGUGUUAAAUAAAUUUUCUUUUUAUGGCUAAUUUUUAUUAUAUUCUUGUAAUCAAGUAGAAAAUUGGUUCUGUGAAGUGUCUGUUAAAGCAAAUAAUGUGCAUUAUUAAUUACCUGAUGAGUUGUUCAAUAUUUUGUCUCCUUUAUUUACAAGCUUUUUAUGCUUUCUCCCUUUGAAUAACAUCAGAAACAUUCUACUAAAAUAAUUUGAGUAUAUGUGAUAUGAAGAUACAUUAUAAACCCUCCUAUCUUGCAUAUGUUUAACAAAUAAACAUGGAUACAUCUCAUUUUCCCAUAUUUUUACUCUGUUUCCACAGGUAUGCCACUAGCUGAGUUUUGUAUGAAAGCAUAUAUUCCUUUUUCUUGCAAGGUGACAUGAAGGAAAGUAAUGACAUUAAUUGUACCAUAUCAUCCUGAAGAGGCAGUAGAAGCUGUAACAUCAAUAAGCAUUUUGUCCUGAAAAUACUGGCAUUCCUUUAGGGCAUUGGAACACUCAUAUAACAACAAGACUCUGGCUGUGCUAGUUAGUCAUCGAGCUGUCAUCAACUCUGAUGACUCCUUUCUGUUAUUGAAUAUCAUGGAUCAGUGUGUCUGAAGGUGGUCAGCAAAUGUAUAUAAUUAAUUCCUUAUAAUCUAUUAUCAACUAAUAUUUAAUUUGGAAGGCAUUUUCCCCUCAACUCCUCUAAAUACCUCUGCAAUUUGCAAGUUAAAAGUAAUAUUGGAGUUACAUGAAAUUCUUACCACUUCACCAAAGAAGAGCUACUUUUGUCACUUCUACUUGCUCCCUUAUCUGAAAAGAAACAUAAUGAUGCAUUCUCAAGAAUUUCUGCAUAUUCUUUGUCUUCCUACUGAUGCCUCAUAUAGGAAUUAGGCAUGGAGGUGAUGACAAGGCUGUUCCUCACCCAUAUGGCAGACAGAAGUUGUUUCUACUGAGGGGCAUGCUUGCACAAAUGUCACUGAAUCCUCAGCAAUAUGGCCUGACUGGAAGUUAUGUAGAACAAAAGAGACAUUUUGCUGCUUGGAAUUUUCACUGCCACCCCCAGAGACGUGCUAUUUUUGUCACUUGUACCAUCUUCUUUCUCUGGGAAAAAUCAGAACAAGGCACUCCAGAGGUUGGCGUGGACCAAAAACUGGGUUUCAUUUGGACGAGUUUAUUCUUUCCUCUUGAGAUAAAACUAUGAAGGAAAGUAUUGGGAAUAAUUCGGCCUCGCAUCUUCAAAGGCCUGUGUGAAUUCUCAGAACGGCAAGCAUUUUAUUCUGAGAAUACUGGCAUUCUUUUAAAUAGCUGCAAUGUCCCAGUGACAAUGAGAGUCUGUCCAGGUGACAGAGCUUAGAAGGAAAGGGAAACCAUCUAUGCUUUUGUCUUAACUCUCAAAUGCCAGCUCUGCAGAAAGUGACAACUUCUCUGUAAGACCCUUCCUACUUGUGGUCCUUUGGACAUCCUUGAAGGAGAUGACUUCUUGGGAACCCUUUUGAGAAUGAAUGACAUCAGCAAAUCCCUAAACAAGACUCUUCAUACAGAGCAUUUCAUCUACCUAUUGUCCAAGGGCUGCCCUCUGAAGGUGAUGGCCACAAAGAUGAGGUGGAUUUGUUACUCUGGAUACCAUUGCUUCUACCACCAGCUUCUCCAAAUCUACGACAGUCUUCCUCAGGCAUGGAAACUCUUCUCUUUCCUGUGUUGCAGUGGAUACCUCCUGCAGAUAAGAAAUGCUUAACUGAGAAAUGCUCAUGUUGGGAUAUCAUCGAUGAGACUUUAAUUUGGGCAUGGUGACUGUUUCCCUUGCUUCCACUUGACUCAAUCCCAGGAGCCUCAGUAGAGGAAAUAUUAUUGCACAAGAAACUCAAAAUGGUGGAAUUGCUCAGUGCUCCCAUAAAAAUACAUUUAUAAAUUUCAUUUGCCAUGUGGUAAAUUUAAAGAAUAAGAUCUAUUUUUUUUCAAAAAUCAAAGCAUAUCUAAAAUAUCUAACAUAUAAAUUAAGCACCCUCCUUUCUCCUAAUACUAUCUCCCAAAGUUUUUCUCUACUAAGGGAGUUGUGUGCAUUCUUUAAGUGGAUAGAUGCGCACACACACACGUUAUUUUUAGGGGGUUCUGGAAUUGGAGCUAUAUUGUACACAUUAUUCUGCAAAUUGCCUCAUUUAACAAUUUUUUCAAUGCCCUUUUUCUGUUUCACUACUACAUAUCUGUGUCAUUUGUUGAAUGACUGCAUGACUGUUUUGUACAUGAAAUAUAAUUAAACAUUUUAAG